Non-coding RNA from Monodelphis domestica (gray short-tailed opossum), 4986 nucleotides. Lineage: Eukaryota; Metazoa; Chordata; Mammalia; Didelphimorphia; Didelphidae. The record is from RefSeq and is a predicted model, not a curated record.
UAAAUGCUUGUUGAUUGAUUGACCUCCACCUCCAACCCAAGCCCUGGGAGAGGAAAGGCCAAGGGGAGGGAUGAUGGAUGGGAGGGGGGAGAUCUGGGUUGGAGCCUGUCAGAGGAGGCUGUUGUUUUUAGGAUCACCACAGCUUGGAGAAGCCUGUUAUUUUCUAGGAAUUUCCUAGGGGUCUGAGGAGCUCUGGAAUGAAAGCCAGCUGUGGAGGCUUGUCAUCCUCAGGGGAUAUUUUAUCUUGGCUCCUAUCCCUUCUCCUCUCCCCCCUCCCCUCCCCAGCCUGCUCUUAGCUGCUUGACUUGGAUGCAUUAACAGCUCAUUUUACAGAUGAAGAAACUAAGGCAAACAGGGUUAAGUGACUUGGCCAAGAUCACACAAUCAUUACUCUAUUGGACUCUAUGGGAAAGUGACCAGCUGUUUACAAGAGCUUUGCCUGCUCUCAAAAUGUUUGAUCCCCUGACACUGCCUCAGCUCCUGGUCAUGGGUCCAGAUCUGCUUACGUCCUGUGAUCAUCUGCAGCAAGAUAUGGGAAGAUUUCUCAGGUUCCCAGAACACAUGAGGGAUUAGACAUUAACUUCUGUUCAAGAAAGGAUUGUCACAGAAAAACUGUUAAGGAGCAUUUCAAGUUAAGGGCAGUGUGUGCAACAGUUUGGAGGGAUGUUUUUGUAGUUCUGUUCUGUCUACACUUUUUCCGGUAAAUAUCCUUUUGUUAAAGGUAAUUGAUGUAAACUGGUUUUUUUCAUGUUAUUGAAGACCUUACUGGUCAAAAUCAUAUGAGGGCAAUAAUCACCAGUCAAAUGAUAUUGAGGAAAAACAACCAAUCAAUUGAUAUAGAGAUAGUAAGUGGUCUAUUGAUACUGCAGGGAAAUUCACUGUAUCAGGGCUCUACAAUAGUCAUAGAGAUAGAAACUCAACUCUUUAGGACUACCCUUUGAACUUAGGGGAAGAAUAGUAGCCUGGCUCUGGAGACUCAACCUUCCAUUGCAAGUGGGAGUUGGGAUAGUGACUCCUAUAGCCUACAUAUGUGCUACUUAUAGCUUUAUCUUGCAUGCAUUAUAUGUAUACACGUCAUCUUCCCCAAUAGAAACAGAAUAGACUGCCUUAUUUUUGUCUUUGUAUUCUCAUUGCUUGGCACAAUAUGGAUACCUAAUAAAUGCUUUUAGACCUAAAAAAAAAAAUAGCACCUCAAGCCACACCACAGAUCCCAUCCUGCUAGGUGUAUAAUUAGAAAAUUACAAAAAAAUUGAACCUUUGGACUCCAUCUCCCAGAAUUCUUUUCUUGUCCCAAGAAUCCUUUUUCUUUCAUUCACGUUAGCGGUUACAUUAUUGUUUUUAAGCUGUGUGUAACUCAGCCUUGCUCUGUCUUUUUCCAGAGUGAGCAGCUGGGUAAGCUCUCUCUCUCUAGCCUUUUAUUUUCCUUUUUUCUUCAAGUUAUUAUUAAUAAAUCUUAUUAAAUAUAAUACUUGGAGUACUUUGGAUAUUAAUUUUUAAUCUACAUAGGGAUAAAACAAGGAUUCCACCAUACUGUGGAAAAUCCACAAUAGACUGACAACUAUAUUAUAAUAGACUAACAUCAGUAUUAAGUUAUUUUUGACCCCCCAAACUAGCAUUCUAACAAGGUUAUACAGUUCCCACCUUAAAGAAGUUGUCCCUGUGCCCUAAAAGUCCAUAACAGGUCAGUAUAGAUCUUUCUGAGCUCCCUGGCUGUUUGACCAUUCACUCAAUAUAUGAAACAAAGACUCUGAUUCAUCCCCAUGGGGGGAUGGGAGAUGAUCCUCUUGGUUUAUUUGUAGAGUCUUAACCCAUGUAGACACACCUGAUAAGUUUAUCAACCCUUUCAGAUGAACCCCUGUGUCCCAGAGAAGGAGAAGCUAGCUAUGUCAAAGUCUUGCCAUUCAAUCAACUGGAAGACCUAGUCCCAGGGUUGCUUAUAGGAUCAGUGAUCUCAAGUUAAAAGGAACCUCAACGGUCAUCUAAUGUAGUCCUUUCAUUUUUACAAAUUAUGAAACUGAGGUCCAGUAUGGCAAAGUAGUUUGUCCAGUGUCACAAAGGUUAUUAGUAGCAGGGCUAGGAUUUGAACCUAGACCAAGGUAAUUUCAAACCCAGAGAGGACUCUUUCUACUAUUCCAUGCUGCAUCUAUGCUCUCUGACUUUUUAAACUUAGAUGAUUGCAACUUUUUGAGGUUGAAGAGCAUAACCAGCCCAAGGUAGCUAGAUGGCACAGUCAAUAGAACACCGAUCCCGGAGUCAAGAAGAUCAGAGUCAAAUCCAGCCUUUGACAUGUACUAGCUGUGUGACCUUGGGCAAAUCACUUAACUUCUCACUACCUCAGUUUCUCCAUAUGUAAAAUGGAGAUAAUAGCCACUACUUCAUAGAAUUAUUGUCAUGAUAAAAUGAGAUGACAAACAGAAAGUGUUUCAUGAACCUUAAAAUGCUAUAUAGAUGCUAGCUAUUAUUAUUAUAGUAUCAUUAUUGUUAUUGUUGCUAAUAUAUUCCUGCUUUCUACCACUGACUCAUUGGUUUUUUUCCAGUUGUCCAAUGGGAAUCACAUGACUUCCUUCAUUUAUCUCUUAAAGUCCUUUGAAAGACCCAAGAGAUAUUAGGUUUAGAAAGGCAUUAAAGAGUAUAAAACCCUUGGGGAACACAGCAGAAAGCACUUUAUAAGUGGGUGUUAGGAGACAUUCCUUUUCGUCUGAACUCUGCCACUUACUAAUUGGUGGCCCCUAGGGAUGAUUUCCUCUGCUAUAAAAAGAAAGAGUUGGAUUAAAUGAUGUUUAAGGUCCCCUUCUGGUUCCAACAUCCCAGGAUUCAAGUCAUCCAGAAUCCCAAAAUGGUGGAGUUUAGAGAUGAUCCAGUAGGAAGAUACAUGGUAAAUUGUCGAGAGAAAAGAGCCCAUGACUUGGAGUCAGGAAGACCUCAGUUCAGAUCUGAUCCAUCACUUUCUAUCUGUGUGGUCCUGUGUAGCCUAUCUCAGCCUCAGUUUCCCCAUCUACAAAAUGAGGAUAAUAAUAGCAUGGGCUUGUUGUAAUGAUCAAAUGAGGUACUAUUCAUAAAGUGCUUUAUUAACCUUCAAGCAUUAAACCAUACCAUAGUAGAUUACCAUAAAGUAUUAAACCAUAAAGAACUAACCUUAAAGCACUAUAUAAAUUCUACUGUUGUUAUUGUUAUCAUGAUUAGUCCAACUCUAUCAUUUCACUGAUGAAGAUAGGAUAGUGGAGGUGACUUGUCCAGGAUCACCCAGCUAAGAAACAGCAGAAUCAAGACUCAAACUCAGGUCUUCUGACACCAAGUUGAGAGCCCUUUUCAGUAUCCAUAUUGUCACCCAACUGUGAAGGAUUCUUCUCAUUAAAUUGCAUGGACCAACAAGUGUGGGGCUUCAGGAACUUCAGGAUGCCCUCUGAACAGAGAGGGGAGGGGAGGCUUGGUCAAGAAUAAAGCCCUACACAGCUUGCGUGACUUCCCAGAGCCCUUUGUGCCCUUUCUUCACUCCUCCUUGCAACUGGCCCUCCUAACUGGAUUCUCCUCACCCAGCCCCCACACAUGACCCUUCCCUCCUCUCUGUAAGUUCUUUAUGCCUGCUCCCCAGGGUCCUGCCCCGAAGAUAAAUGGAGUUAGUAAAUGUGAUAGGCACAGAUUUUUAUCUAAUCGGAUUCCACAGCACAAGACAAAGUGCAGUGUGUUGAACUGGGAUGUGUAAUUAAUUAUCUCCCAAGCAUGUAGCCUGUGGCAGCCUGGCCGGGGGUUGGCUUUGGCAUUUUAGAUGUACAGGGUGAGAAGUAGGGGAGCUCUGAGAAUCAGAAGUUUCAGGGCCCUUGGGUUGCCACAAGAGCCGGAGCUAGAGAUGGAAGCCCGCCCUUUCUAGGGCUUGGGAGAAGGACAAGACCCUGAUCUGUCGGAGUCCCUAUUGGCUAACAAUUUGUCAUUUCUUCCACUCUGGAAAAUUUGGGGAAGGAUAAGGGGGCACUUAGAGGCCCCUAAUGGGUUCCCUUAUUUAGAUAGAAUAUAAUUGAUUGCAGUGUUUUCCUUGGAAUCAAUCAGAAGUCAUUUGUUUGAGUGCUGACUGUGCUACUCACUAAACAUAUAACUCUGGGAAAGUCACUUAAUUUUCCUGAGCUCUGGUUUCCUUAUCUGUAAAAUAGGCAUGAGGGUUAUUGUGAAGGCCAAACAAGAUGUUGGAUAGAAAACAUCUUAUAAUUAUAAAGUAUUAUAUACAUGCAAAUUGGUAUUUUAAUUCAGGAGGCUUUAUUUUAAUUUAAAUUAAAAAAAUUAACAAGCACUUAUUUUCCACUCACUGAAAAAGAAAAAGAAAUUCCUCAUAACCAAUGUGCAUAGUGAAGUUAAAUAAAUUUUAAUCCAAUAUUCAAUCCAAAAACCUGUUUCAUUUUUUUAAAAAACCUUUACCUUCUGUCUUAGCUUCCAAAUUGGUAUUGGUUCCAAAUCAAAAGAGCCACAAUGGCAAUGAAGCUUAAAGUGAUUUGCCUAGGGUCACACAGCUAGGAAAUGUUUGAGGUCAAAUUUGAAACCAGGACCUUGUAGCUUUAUGCCUGUUUCUCAAUCCACUGAACCCCCUUGCUGCCCUCUAUGUUUCCUUUUUCAUCUUGUAUCUAUCAGCUCUCCAUCAAGGGUCAGGGAGCAUGCUUCCUCAUAGGGCUGUGGUGAGGAUCAAAUGAGAUAACAUUUGCAUAGUGCCUGGCACAUAUUGGUACACACUUGAUAAAUGCUUCUCCCCUUCCUCUUCCUUUCCCUUCAUGAGGAGUCCUCUGAAUUGUGAUUGAUCAUUUCACUGAUGAGAGUUCUUAAGCCUUUGCAAUAUUGCCAUUGUUGUGUAAUGUGUAAAUUGUUCUUGCGACUCUGUUCCCCUUACUCUGUACUAGUUCUUACAAGUUGGAGUAAGUUUCUGAAGUAUUAAAAAAUGCCUCCCCCUUGACUAUUCACUUUAAAGAAGUCAGUGCUGGCAUAGAUAGUACAAAACAGCAAAUA